This 399-nucleotide RNase P RNA is filed under the name Corynebacterium halotolerans YIM 70093 = DSM 44683. RNAcentral describes it as "Bacterial RNase P class A". It matches the Rfam family "Bacterial RNase P class A". From Rfam's summary of the family: Ribonuclease P (RNase P) is a ubiquitous endoribonuclease, found in archaea, bacteria and eukarya as well as chloroplasts and mitochondria. Its best characterised activity is the generation of mature 5'-ends of tRNAs by cleaving the 5'-leader elements of precursor-tRNAs. The record is from Rfam by way of RNAcentral. Lineage: Bacteria; Bacillati; Actinomycetota; Actinomycetes; Mycobacteriales; Corynebacteriaceae.
UGAGUCGGCCGGGUGAUCGCGGCCCCCGAACCAGCCGUCCACGGCGAAGGCGGGUGUCGAGGAAAGUCCGGACUCCACAGAGCACGGUGGUUGCUAACGGCAACCCGGGGUGACCCGCGGGCACGUGCAACAGAAAGUAGACCGCCCGGUUUCGGCCGGGUAAGGGUGAAAGGGUGCGGUAAGAGCGCACCGGCGGGCCAGGUGACUGGUCCGGACAGGUAAACCCCACCGGGAGCAAGGCAUUACGGCCUGUUCACAGAGCAGGCCGGUUCGGAUGAUUGAGGGCUGCUCGCCCGAGUCCGAAGGUAGCUGCUUGAGGCGGUCAGCGAUGGCCGACCCAGAUGGAUGUUCACCGCCCCUCACGGGGUACAGAAUCCGGCUUACAGGCCGGCUCAUUCG